Molecule: ribosomal RNA, 245 nt
Filed under: uncultured bacterium
Lineage: Bacteria
Description: partial 16S ribosomal RNA
Rfam family: Bacterial small subunit ribosomal RNA
Source: RNAcentral
UACGGAGGAUGCGAGCGUUAUCCGGAUUCAUUGGGUUUAAAGGGUGCGUAGGCGGACUAAUAAGUCAGUGGUGAAAUUCUGCAGCUUAACUGUAGACGUGCCAUUGAUACUGUUAGACUUGAGUGUGGUCAAGGUAGGCGGAAUGUGUAAUGUAGCGGUGAAAUGCUUAGAUAUUACACAGAACACCGAUUGCGAAGGCAGCUUGCUGGGCCAUUACUGACGCUGAUGCACGAAAGCGUGGGGAG